RNAcentral lists this non-coding RNA (100 nucleotides) under Shewanella pealeana. RNAcentral's name for it is "Guanine sequence". It matches the Rfam family "Purine riboswitch aptamer". From Rfam's summary of the family: Riboswitches are metabolite binding domains within certain messenger RNAs that serve as precision sensors for their corresponding targets. Allosteric rearrangement of mRNA structure is mediated by ligand binding, and this results in modulation of gene expression. A class of riboswitches that selectively recognises guanine and becomes saturated at concentrations as low as 5 nM. The record is from RNAcentral. RNAcentral also lists the same sequence under 1 other name. Lineage: Bacteria; Pseudomonadati; Pseudomonadota; Gammaproteobacteria; Alteromonadales; Shewanellaceae.
CGCGCCAACAAUUUAUUGUGCUGUAUAUCGCUGGAAAUCUGGUCCAGAAGUCUCUACCACAAGACCUAAUCUUGUGACUACAGCCCAAUCACCGUCCGCU